GACGAACGCUGGCGGCGUGCUUAACACAUGCAAGUCGAACGGAAAGGCCCUGCUUUUGUGGGGUGCUCGAGUGGCGAACGGGUGAGUAACACGUGAGUAACCUGCCCUUGACUUUGGGAUAACUUCAGGAAACUGGGUCUAAUACCGGAUAGGAGCUCCUGCUGCAUGGUGGGGGUUGGAAAGUUUCGGCGGUUGGGGAUGGACUCGCGGCUUAUCAGCUUGUUGGUGGGGUAGUGGCUUACCAAGGCUUUGACGGGUAGCCGGCCUGAGAGGGUGACCGGCCACAUUGGGACUGAGAGACGGCCCAGACUCCUACGGGAGGCAGCAGUGGGGAAUAUUGCACAAUGGGCGGAAGCCUGAUGCAGCAACGCCGCGUGCGGGAUGACGGCCUUCGGGUUGUAAACCGCUUUCGCCUGUGACGAAGCGUGAGUGACGGUAAUGGGUAAAGAAGCACCGGCUAACUACGUG
This 468-nucleotide ribosomal RNA is filed under the name uncultured bacterium. RNAcentral describes it as "partial 16S ribosomal RNA". It matches the Rfam family "Bacterial small subunit ribosomal RNA", at positions 28 to 507 of the family's 1533-position model. The record is from RNAcentral.